This is a non-coding RNA of Moniliophthora roreri MCA 2997, 105 nucleotides long. The record is from Rfam. NCBI's taxonomy places the organism in Eukaryota, Fungi, Basidiomycota, Agaricomycetes, Agaricales, Marasmiaceae.
UGCCCCAUGGCUGAGUUGGUUACAGCGUCCGACUGUUAUAAAUGAGAAUAUUUCUUUGUGUCUUAAACAAUCGGAAGGUCGUGAGUUCGAGCCUCACUGGGGCAG